RNAcentral lists this ribosomal RNA (905 nucleotides) under uncultured bacterium. Its description in RNAcentral is "bacterial SSU rRNA". It matches the Rfam family "Bacterial small subunit ribosomal RNA", at positions 8 to 941 of the family's 1533-position model. The record is from RNAcentral.
AGAGUUUGAUCCUGGCUCAGAAUCAACGCUGGCGGCGUGCCUAACACAUGCAAGUCGAACGAGAACGGUUCCUUCGGGAGCUUAGUAAAGUGGCGUACGGGUGAGUAACGCGUGGAUAAUCUGCCCUCAAGUGGGGGAUAACUCGGGGAAACCCGGGCUAAUACCGCAUAAGCCCUACGGGGGAAAAGUAUUUAUAUUGCUUGAGGAGGAGUCCGCGUCCGAUUAGCUGGUUGGUGAGGUAAGAGCUCACCAAGGCGACGAUUGGUAGCCGGUCUGAGAGGACGGACGGCCACACUGGAACUGAGACACGGUCCAGACUCCUACGGGAGGCAGCAGUGGGGAAUUUUGGGCAAUGGGGGAAACCCUGACCCAGCAACGCCGCGUGGAGGAAGAAGGUUUUCGGAUCGUAAACUCCUGUCCGGAGGGACGAAGCAAGUGACGGUACCUCUGGAGGAAGCCCCGGCUAACUCCGUGCCAGCAGCCGCGGUAAUACGGGGGGGGCAAGCGUUGUUCGGAAUUACUGGGCGUAAAGGGCGCGCAGGCGGUUUUCGUCAGUCAUGGGUGAAAAGCCCCGGGCUCAACCCGGGAAUGGCCUGUGAAACCACGGAACUGGAGUGCUGGAGAGGGAAGCGGAAUUCCCAGUGUAGCGGUGAAAUGCGUAGAUAUUGGGGGGAACAUCGGUGGCGAAGGCGGCUUCCUGGACAGACACUGACGCUGAGGCGCGAAAGCCAGGGGAGCGAACGGGAUUAGAUACCCCGGUAGUCCUGGCUGUAAACGAUGAAUACUUGUGUAGGGGGUAGGAAAGUCCCUCUGUGCCGUAGAGAACUCGAUAGUAUUCCGCCUGGGAGUACGGCCGCAAGGCUGAACUCAAGGAAUUGACGGGGCCCGCACAAGCGUGGAGCAUG